This 479-nucleotide ribosomal RNA is filed under the name uncultured bacterium. RNAcentral's name for it is "partial 16S ribosomal RNA". It matches the Rfam family "Bacterial small subunit ribosomal RNA", at positions 28 to 507 of the family's 1533-position model. The record is from RNAcentral.
GAUGAACGCUAGCGGGAGGCCUAACACAUGCAAGUCGAGCGGUAUCGUUUCUUCGGCUUUCUCAGAGCGGCGUACGGGUGCGUAACACGUGUGCAACCUGCCUAUAUCUCGGGGAUAGCCUUUCGAAAGGAGGAUAAAUACUCCUUAUUAUAUAUAACGCCAACGUUUAAUAUUGAAAGAUCUGGCGGAUAGAGAUGGGCACGCGAAAGAUUAGCUAGUUGGUGAGGUAACGGCUCAACAAGGCGCUGAUCCUUCGGUGGCCUGAGAGUGUGAUCCCCCACACUGGUACUGAGACACGGACCAGACUCCUACGGGAGGCAGCAGUGAGGAGUAUUGGGCAAUGGGUGCAAGCCUGAACCAGCCAUCCCGCGUGAAGGACGACUGCCCUAUGGGUUGUAAACUUCUUUUGUAGAAGGAUAAACCUACCCUCGAGAGGGUAUCUGAAGGUACUAAACGAAUAAGCACCGGCUAACUCCGUG